CGGCGAGUGAAGCGGCAUAAGCUCAAAUUUGAAAUCUGGCCCUCUCAGGGUCCGAGUUGUAAUUUGCAGAAGAUGUUUCGGGCGUGGUUCCGGUCUAAGUUCCUUGGAACAGGACGUCAUAGAGGGUGAGAAUCCCGUAUGUGACUGGAUGCCUUCGCCCAUGUGAAACUCUUUCGACGAGUCGAGUUGUUUGGGAAUGCAGCUCAAAAUGGGUGGUAUAUUUCAUCUAAAGCUAAAUAUUGGCCAGAGACCGAUAGCGCACAAGUAGAGUGAUCGAAAGAUGAAAAGCACUUUGGAAAGAGAGUUAAACAGUACGUGAAAUUGUUGAAAGGGAAGCGCUUGCAAUCAGACUUGCGCCUAGUCGAUCAUCCGGGCUUCUGUCCGGUGCACUCGACUAGGCUCAGGCCAGCAUCGGUUUGGGUGGUUGGAUAAAGGCCUGGGGAACGUGGCCACCUUCGGGUGGUGUUAUAGCCCCGGGUGCAAUGCAGCCUACCCGGACCGAGGACCGCGCUUCGGCUAGGAUGCUGGCGUAAUGGUUGUAAGCGACCCGUCUUGAAACACGGACCAAGGAGUCGACCUAUUUAGCGAGUGUUUGGGUGCUAAACCCAUACGCGUAAUGAAAGUGAACGGAGGUGAGAGCCCUUGCGGGUGCAUCAUCGACCGAUCCUGAUGUCUUCGGAUGGAUUUGAGUAUGAGCUAAGUGGGUCGGACCCGAAAGAUGGUGAUCUAUACGUGAAUAGGGUGAAGCCAGAGGAAACUCUGGUGGAGGCUCGCAGCGGUUCUGACGUGCAAAUCGAUCGUCAAAUUUGCGUAUAGGGGCGAAAGACUAAUCGA
RNAcentral lists this ribosomal RNA (834 nucleotides) under Rutstroemiaceae sp. KL288. RNAcentral describes it as "eukaryotic LSU rRNA". It matches the Rfam family "Eukaryotic large subunit ribosomal RNA", at positions 87 to 938 of the family's 3401-position model. Lineage: Eukaryota; Fungi; Ascomycota; Leotiomycetes; Helotiales; Rutstroemiaceae. The record is from RNAcentral.